CUCAGUCUAUUUCAAGCACAUUCUCAUCAAGAAUACCAAGAGGGAGUCAGCAAGGAAGUCUUGGUCGUGCAUGGGAAAAAGAAUUCAACAAAAAUCAUUAAUUUCGGUCUUUAGUCAAAGUCUUCAUUUCUAGUUUCUAUGUCUUGUUUUUAGAACAUUCUUCUUUGGAUUUCUACAACUUGUAAUCCUAUAAAUAAGGCCUUAGAGCCACGAAAAAGACAGAUUGUUUUUCCCUUUUUAUGUGUUUCUCUCAUUGUUCUUUGUUUAGAACACAUCUUAGUUUCUCGGUGAGGUUAUCUCCAAGUUUCGAACCUUCUUUUGUUGGACCGGUGCGUCACAUCCGGCAACGAUCGAAGUCUGGUAGUAUCUUUGGGCUAUUCCGCAACCCUUAGUGUCACUCCUCGAUCCAUCAGUUCUCAAUCCUCUCGGAUCUGAGUUCAUAUCAACCAUACCGAAAGAGUGAUCCAUAUUUUGGUUCUAUCAAGUGGUAUCAGAGCCACUCUUCCGGUAUUGUCCAUUUCAUUCAUCUUUCUCAUCUUCUAUUUUCUUAUAAACACUUCUUCUUCUACCUUUUCUUAAAUCCGGGCCCCUCAUUACCAUCCAUAUAAAAAAAAGAUCUACGAUUUGAUUCAAAAAAAAAUAUAUAGAAAAAAUUUCAAGUUUGUUUUGUGGAUUGGUGGUGGAAGAGACAGCCUGCUGGCUGAGGAGAAAUCCAGCCUUUGAGGUGGUUAAAACGGAUUUCAAAAAUCAAAAAAAAAAAAAAUUUCUUAUCUUUCUAUCUUGAGAAAUUCCCUUGUUUGCUUCGAUUUGCCCAUUGAGAUUCUUUGAUUUGUUCUCUUAGAACAUUGAGUAGA
Molecule: long non-coding RNA, 854 nt
Filed under: Brassica rapa (field mustard)
Lineage: Eukaryota; Viridiplantae; Streptophyta; Magnoliopsida; Brassicales; Brassicaceae
Description: long non-coding RNA (BRAP_LNC008617)
Source: RNAcentral